RNAcentral lists this ribosomal RNA (456 nucleotides) under uncultured bacterium. Its description in RNAcentral is "bacterial SSU rRNA". It matches the Rfam family "Bacterial small subunit ribosomal RNA", at positions 28 to 497 of the family's 1533-position model. The record is from RNAcentral.
GACGAACGCUGGCGGCGCGCCUAACACAUGCAAGUCGAACGAGCGAGAGAGAGCUUGCUUUCUUGAGCGAGUGGCGAACGGGUGAGUAACGCGUGAGGAACCUGCCUCAAAGAGGGGGACAACAGUUGGAAACGACUGCUAAUACCGCAUAAGCCCACGGCUCGGCAUCGAGCAGAGGGAAAAGGAGCAAUCCGCUUUGAGAUGGCCUCGCGUCCGAUUAGCUAGUUGGUGAGGUAACGGCCCACCAAGGCAACGAUCGGUAGCCGGACUGAGAGGUUGAACGGCCACAUUGGGACUGAGACACGGCCCAGACUCCUACGGGAGGCAGCAGUGGGGAAUAUUGCACAAUGGGGGAAACCCUGAUGCAGCGACGCCGCGUGGAGGAAGAAGGUCUUCGGAUUGUAAACUCCUGUUGUUGAGGAAGAUAAUGACGGUACUCAACAAGGAAGUGACGGC